GUCAUAAAGCAGUACAGAUGCUCACAUACCCUAUAGUGUGAAGGGAUAAAAUAUGCACUUUGUAUGUGUAGCCUUGAUUUUUAGAGUGACAGUAUUCCCUGGAUGUUUAACUGUUUAAACUGUGGGUUCCCUCCCCCAAGCCAUUACGGGGAAGGUAGAAUAUCACCUCAACACCAAGUCAACCGUUUUCUUAGCGUAAGGUGUGUGUAUGUUUAUGUGAGAGAUCUUUGUGGUGUGCUUGGCCUCUUUAGCCCUGAUUAAACAGCUGUGGCGUGUUCCCCUUGGGCUGGGGGCAGGCGCAUUGACCCGGAUCGUGUCGGAAGUUCAGGAGUUGAGCUGGAUUUUAGUUGGGGCGUCAGGGGGACCCGCAGGGCGGCCAGUCUUCACUGAGGCCUAAUAACACAUAGCAGAUGUGCUCAGCAGAGUGGAGACAUGAAUGCAAAAAGGAUCCCUGGGAAAAUGGCAGAGGCAGGCCGGAGCACUCAGACACAAAAUCACAACCAGACCCGUCGCCAAGUGCAGAGAAAGAGCCUCCGUCCAGCCUAACCCUGCCACCCAGGGAAGCCAAUGCCCAGAGAGAGAAAGCUCUGCCCUGGGGCAACACACAAACAAGCUCACACACAGCGUCCACAUGGCCCACAGAGGAAGGUCAUGGCUUUGGCAGAUUAUGAAAUGUGAUGCGGCACUACCAUUCAGCAGUGUUGAAUUGUUUUUAUGUUUUUAAUAAAUGUUAUUUUGUUUUAAUAUAGCAGCUUGAAAAGUACAGUUUAGUGCAGUACACUAGACACCAUGUGAUGUAUUAUACCAUUUAGCAUAUCAAGUCUUGUUAAAAUGAUGAAUAAUAUAUGUAAUAUAUAACUGUCAUUUUCUCUGCCUUAAAGCAGCACUAGGUAGGAUUUUCUUGAUUUUUGAUCUUUUUAAAGUGAUAAAAAUUACAGCUUGAAACUCACUGCAGCGCUGCAUUGAGGUGUAAUAGGAGGAAUAGCGGUGCUCUCGUGCCGGAGCUCCUCUGAGCUCAAACCAGACUCUGUAAGUUUUCCGAGGCGGCCGCGACCAACGCUCACGAGAACUGCGCCCUGCUUUCCGACCUUUAGUUCUAACAGUUCUACAAGGACUACUGGUUAAUUUUUUACAAACUAACAUACAGACACUCUGGCAGAAGCUGGAAAGAGACCAAAUAUGUCUGUGAAAGCCAGAAAACUAGAAAGAGAAACUAAUCCGCCUGAAACAUUUAUUACGAUCUACAACUGUAGGGGGAGCCCACGAGCACAAAAACUCAAUCCUACCUAGUGGAGCUUUAAUAUUUGCUAUCUUGAUAAUUUGUUUUAUUGACAGCAGUCAUCCCAGACCACAGUUUGGUGAUCCCCACGAUUAAAUGCUGGUGUAUAUAAAAUUGAUCAAAUUUGCUGUUUGUCUCAGGUGUCUACAAUCCAUUUACAGGCAGAGGCAAUAAUUUACAACAUUCUUAGAAUCUGGAUGCAGCAAAUACUAAACUAUGCAAAAACCUGUGAUUAAGAUUACUAAACUAAAUAUAAGCUGAGGCACUGAGGCACUGACUCAAAUGUCUUGAUACUACCAAAUACCGAAAGGUCUA
RNAcentral lists this long non-coding RNA (1594 nucleotides) under Astyanax mexicanus (Mexican tetra). RNAcentral describes it as "lncRNA (ENSAMXG00005015913.1)". The record is from RNAcentral. Lineage: Eukaryota; Metazoa; Chordata; Actinopteri; Characiformes; Acestrorhamphidae.